RNAcentral lists this microRNA precursor (111 nucleotides) under Podarcis lilfordi (Lilford's wall lizard). The record is from RNAcentral. Lineage: Eukaryota; Metazoa; Chordata; Lepidosauria; Squamata; Lacertidae.
ACCUUAGAGACCAACUAAGUUUUUCUUGGUAUAAGCUUUCGUGUGUAUCUGAAGAAGUGUGCGUGCACACGAAAGUUUGUACCAAGAACAAACUUAGUUGGUCUCUAAGGU